Molecule: ribosomal RNA, 372 nt
Filed under: uncultured organism
Description: bacterial SSU rRNA
Rfam family: Bacterial small subunit ribosomal RNA
Source: RNAcentral
CAGAGGUCCCGAGCGUUGUUCGGAUUUAUUGGGCGUAAAGGGCGCGUAGGUGGUUCGGUAAGUCGGAUGUGAAAUCCCAAAGCUUAACUUUGGAAUUGCAUCGAAAACUGCCGGGCUAGAGUCUAGGAGGGGGGAGUGGAAUUCUUGGUGUAGCAGUGAAAUGCGUAGAUAUCAAGAGGAACACCGGCGGCGAAGGCGACUCCCUGGACUAGUACUGACACUGAGGCGCGAAAGCUAGGGGAGCAAACGGGAUUAGAUACCCCGGUAGUCCUAGCCGUAAACUGCGUGCACUUGCUGUUAGAGGAUUCGACCCCUUUAGCGGCAAAGCUAACGCAUUAAGUGCACCGCCUGGGAAGUACGGUCGCAAGACUA